AAGCAGAAAAAUAAAAACACCACUCAGUAGGUGUUGAUUCUCUUUGCUUAAUAUUCUUUUCUUUUUCUUCUUCCUGCUGAAUUUCUUCAAAAAAUUGAGAAUACCAAGCACCUGUUUCCAUAUAUCAAUCAGAGGAACGUUAAUCUCCAAUUUCUUGAAGAUUUCAAUAAAGCACUUAAACUUCUUUUCUUUCCUAUGAUAUUUCUUUUGAUGAGGAAGAGGUUUUGCAUAUGAUCUUUUCUUCUUUUCUCUCUUCCUCCUUUUCUUAAUGUUCUCCCUCAACUUUCUCUUUUUCUCUUUUCUUCUUUAUUUUUGCAUAUUUUUUUCUUUUUUUCUUUUUUUUAACCACUUCUUUUUCUCCUUCAUCAUCAUUAUCUUCCUUAACCAACUUUUCUGUUUCUUCUUCCUUUAAAUCUCUCUCUAUCUUUUCUUCCUCAAUCUUUUCCUCUUUUUUUUUCCAAUUUUUUCUCCUCUAUCUUCUCCUCUAUCUUUUCCUCCUUUCUCUCCAUUUUUUUUCUCCUCUAUCUUUUCCUCAUCAAUAACCUUAUCAAUUUGUGUCUCCAAAUUCCUAAAGGUAACUUCAUAGCUCUUGGAAUCGUACUUCUUCAAAAAUUUGUCGAACUUCUCAUUAAGGCUUUUGACUUGUUCUGUCACAUUAGCUACCUGAUGACAUAAUUGUUGACCGUCCUCCCAUGUUUCUAUUGGUAAAGAGAGUUGUUGCUACCAUAAACGUUGUUGAACUUCCCCCAUUGUUUCUCUUAGCAAAGAGGAUUGUUGCCCAAAUUGGCUUUGAUAUAUGUUUGAAUGAGGUUCCCACCAGUGGUUGAAAUCAUUUUGGUAGAAUUGAGUGCCCAUAUAAUCAAAUUCUUCUUCAUACUGCAUCCUGCAAGCAUUAGGCACAAAAUCCUAGAAAACAUGUAUUAGAACAAAAAUAAAAAUAAACAUAAAAAUCAAGUCAAAUUUAAUCAAUUUACACUACUUGAAAAGUUAAACCACGAGUCCCCGACAAUGGCGCCAAAAACUUGUUAAGUCCCUACCAAGUGUACCAAAUCGUUAUCAAGUAAUAUAAAACGGGUAAGUCCGAGUAUCGUUUUCCCAAAGGACUCUUAGGCCUUACUUUUCAUGUAAACAAAUCGCGUAUGACUUGAGAAGAAAUAAAUUUUAGGGUUUGGAUGCAAAAAGAAAAUAAACAUGCAAAAUGUAUUGAAUCAAUUGGCUAGAAGAAACUAUGGAUGAAUGAAGUUGUCGGGGUUUACAAUUUCAUCUUAUCCACCCUUUUAUAUCUACCCUUCUUAUCUACUUUGCUUAUUUAUCAUAUUGUCAUGCAAACUUUCUUAGUCUACCCUAAAUCCAAUCUCUUGGCGAAAAAGCCUAUUAAUAAUUACUGGCUUGCUAUCUCUAGCCUCCCCUAGUAACUAGCAAUGCAUGAUAAACGGAAGCAAAACACAAUUGAUCGUCCUACCCCUAUCUCUAGGCGGUAUUAGCAUAAUCAAGGAAUUCCUCCAGUUCAUGACAUUAAUGUACGUCUCGGUAUCAAUAAAGACAAACAACAUUUACCGAAUGAGUUAAACGAUAAAAGCAUUAAGCAAAGGUAAGGAAUC
RNAcentral lists this long non-coding RNA (1601 nucleotides) under Vigna radiata. RNAcentral describes it as "long non-coding RNA (VRAD_LNC008393)". Lineage: Eukaryota; Viridiplantae; Streptophyta; Magnoliopsida; Fabales; Fabaceae. The record is from RNAcentral.